RNAcentral lists this ribosomal RNA (433 nucleotides) under uncultured bacterium. RNAcentral describes it as "partial 16S ribosomal RNA". It matches the Rfam family "Bacterial small subunit ribosomal RNA", at positions 29 to 507 of the family's 1533-position model. The record is from RNAcentral.
AACGAACGCUGGCGGCAUGCCUAACACAUGCAAGUCGAACGAAGAGUUCGGACUUAUGGGCGCACGGCUUCGGAACGCGUGGGAAGCGUCCCUUGGGUACGGAAUAACUCAGAGAAAUGUGUGCUAAUACCGUAUAAUGUCUUCGGACCAAAGAUUUAUCGCCCAAGGAUGAGCCCGCGUAAGAUUCGCUAGUUGGUGGGGUAAAAGCCUACCAAGGCGACGAUCUUUAGCUGGUCUGAGAGGAUGAUCAGCCACACUGGGAGUGAGAAACGGCCCAGACUCCUACGGGAGGGGGCAGUGGGGAAUAUUGGAACAUGGGCGAAAGCCUGAUCCAGCAAUGACGCGUGAGUGCUGAAGGCCGUAGGGUUGUAAAGCUCUUUUACCAGUGAUGAUCAUGACGGUACCUGGAGAAUAAGCCCCGGCUAACUACGCG